CCCACCUCCACAAAACUUUAUCUCCAACCUUUACGUUGAUGGAAGGGGGAUCCCAAGAGUAUCCCUGACCGUGAACUGGACAACACAGAGACAAGUGUUGGAAUGGGAAUGCCGUUGAUGCUGACACGGACCGUGUACCGGUCACUCGGCAUGGGUCUGCCAAGAAGAUGAUGUACGUGGUAAAGUAAUACGACUACAGUCUGGCUACAAGAUUCUCAGUCAUCACGGCCACGGUCAUCUGACAAGGUUGAAUUAUUCUUUUUCUUAUGAAAAUGUUCAAAAAUGAUUUGGCUUUAGUUGAGAUUGCAAUUUUAUUGAAAUUAUAGUUACUCACUACUUUCCUCCCCAAAUAAUUCCAUUCGUAAAUGUAUUACGUUUCAUGAUCGGGAUUAGUUUUGAGGGAAAAGUCAUUUGUUUUACUUUUUUUGAAAAACCUUGAAAUAUGGUAAAGAGCUUUUGACAUUUUUGAGUAGCUUUCAUGGGCCAGUUAGAGUAGGAGAGCGAAGAUGGGUACUUUAAUAUCUAUUAGACUUUUAACCACAACUUUAUAUUUGAAAUAUAAUAACACUGACUGGCAUGUAUUCUUUUACCUCUGGGGAAAAAAAAAAAAAAAAAAAGACUGAUUACAAUCUAUAACAUAAAAUCUACAUGUA
Molecule: long non-coding RNA, 653 nt
Organism: Hippocampus comes (tiger tail seahorse)
Lineage: Eukaryota; Metazoa; Chordata; Actinopteri; Syngnathiformes; Syngnathidae
Exons: 3
Source: RefSeq, a predicted model, not a curated record